Molecule: long non-coding RNA, 202 nt
Filed under: Gallus gallus (chicken)
Lineage: Eukaryota; Metazoa; Chordata; Aves; Galliformes; Phasianidae
Source: RNAcentral
CUUCGCUUAUCUGAGCAGCUACCUGAAGAUUCUGCUCAAACAUCUGAAAAACGAUAGCUGGGAGCGUAGUCUGAUAGUACCCAUCUUGAUCUGCUUCUGGCUCAGUUUCUUUUACCCAGUCUUUUUUAUCUGUCUCCAGUGCUUUUCUUAGCCAGCCAAUGAUGUUAGAAGUAAGCGUUGACAUGUACUUGCUGAGAAGCUG